This 459-nucleotide ribosomal RNA is filed under the name uncultured bacterium. Its description in RNAcentral is "partial 16S ribosomal RNA". It matches the Rfam family "Bacterial small subunit ribosomal RNA", at positions 338 to 795 of the family's 1533-position model. The record is from RNAcentral.
CCUACGGGAGGCUGCAGUGAGGAAUAUUGGUCAAUGGCCGGAAGGCUGAACCAGCCAUGCCGCGUGAAGGUCAGUGCCCUCUGGGCGUUAAACUUCUUUUUUGCGGGAGCAAUCAUGGUCACGUGUGGCCAGACGAGAGUACCGUACGAAUAAGCAUCGGCUAACUCCGUUCCAGCAGCCGCGGUAAUACGGGGGAUGCGAGCGUUAAUCGGAAUUACUUGGCGUAAAGCGCUCGUAGGCGGUAUGUCAAGUCAACGGUGAAAUGCCCGCGAUCAACGUGGGUCCUGCAUUUGAAACUGGCAAACUGGAGUGUGUGAGAGGAUAGCGGAAUUCGAGGUGUAGGAGUGAAAUGCGUAGAUAUCUGGAGGAACAGCAGUGGCGAAGGCGACUAGCUGGCACAUAACUGACGCUGAGGAGCGAAAGAGUGGGUAGCAAACAGGAUUAGAUACCCGAGUAGUC